Molecule: ribosomal RNA, 538 nt
Filed under: uncultured bacterium
Lineage: Bacteria
Description: bacterial SSU rRNA
Rfam family: Bacterial small subunit ribosomal RNA
Source: RNAcentral
AAUAGAUACCCAGGUAGUCCUAGCCGUAAACGAUGAACACUAGGCGUAGUCGGUAUCGACCCCGGCUGUGCCGUAGCUAACGCAUUAAGUGUUCCGCCUGGGGAGUACGGCCGCAAGGCUAAAACUCAAAGGAAUUGACGGGGGGCCCGCACAAGCAGCGGAGCGUGUGGUUUAAUUCGUCGCAACGCGAAGAACCUUACCAGGGCUUGACAUGUGGCGGAAAACGGCGGAAACGUCGUCCUCCCGCAAGGGACCGUCAUGCAGGUGUUGCAUGGCUGUCGUCAGCUCGUGUCGUGAGAUGUUGGGUUAAGUCCCGCAACGAGCGCAACCCCCGUGGCAUGUUGUAUCUCUCAUGCCAGACUGCCGAGAGAAACUCGGAGGAAGGUGGGGAUGACGCCAAGUCAGCAUGGCCCUUACGUCCUGGGCUACACACACGCUACAAUGGCCGGUACAACGGGUUGCCGAAACCGCGAGGUGGAGCUAAUCCCUUAAAGCCGGUCUCAGUUCGGAUUGCAGGCUGCAACUCGCCUGCAUGAAC